Molecule: ribosomal RNA, 538 nt
Filed under: uncultured bacterium
Lineage: Bacteria
Description: bacterial SSU rRNA
Rfam family: Bacterial small subunit ribosomal RNA
Source: RNAcentral
UCCCCCACAUGGGUACUGAGACACGGACCAAACUCCUACGGGAGGCAGCAGUGAGGAAUAUUGGUCAAUGGGCGUAAGCCUGAACCAGCCAAGUCGCGUGAGGGAUGAAGGUUCUAUGGAUCGUAAACCUCUUUUAUAAGGGAAUAAAGUGCGGGACGUGUCCCGUUUUGUAUGUACCUUAUGAAUAAGGAUCGGCUAACUCCGUGCCAGCAGCCGCGGUAAUACGGAGGAUCCGAGCGUUAUCCGGAUUUAUUGGGUUUAAAGGGUGCGUAGGCGGCCUUUUAAGUCAGCGGUGAAAGUCUGUGGCUCAACCAUAGAAUUGCCGUUGAAACUGGGAGGCUUGAGUAUGUUUGAGGCAGGCGGAAUGCGUGGUGUAGCGGUGAAAUGCUUAGAUAUCACGCAGAACCCCGAUUGCGAAGGCAGCCUGCCAAGCCAUGACUGACGCUGAUGCACGAAAGCGUGGGGAUCAAACAGGAUUAGAUACCCUGGUAGUCCACGCAGUAAACGAUGAUCACUAGCUGUUUGCGAUACACAGUAA